GGCCAGGUAGCUCAGUUGGUUAGAGCGUUGUUGGGAUACAUCAAGAUUGAGGGUUCAAUUCCCUACCAGGGCA
RNAcentral lists this transfer RNA (73 nucleotides) under Myotis lucifugus (little brown bat). It matches the Rfam family "tRNA". From Rfam's summary of the family: Transfer RNA (tRNA) molecules are approximately 80 nucleotides in length. Their secondary structure includes four short double-helical elements and three loops (D, anti-codon, and T loops). The record is from Rfam by way of RNAcentral. Lineage: Eukaryota; Metazoa; Chordata; Mammalia; Chiroptera; Vespertilionidae.